This 430-nucleotide ribosomal RNA is filed under the name Bacteroidota bacterium. Its description in RNAcentral is "Bacteroidetes bacterium partial 16S ribosomal RNA". It matches the Rfam family "Bacterial small subunit ribosomal RNA", at positions 355 to 776 of the family's 1533-position model. The record is from RNAcentral. Lineage: Bacteria; Pseudomonadati; Bacteroidota.
UAGGGAAUCUUCGGCAAUGGGGGGAACCCUGACCGAGCAACGCCGCGUGAGUGAAGAAGGUUUUCGGAUCGUAAAGCUCCGUUGUUAAGGAAGAACGAGUGUGAGAAUGGAAAGUUCAUGCUGUGACGGUACUUAACCAGAAAGGGACGGCUAACUACGUGCCAGCAGCCGCGGUAAUACGUAGGUCCCGAGCGUUGUCCGGAUUUAUUGGGCGUAAAGCGAGCGCUGGCGGUCAAUUAAGUCUGAUGUGAAAGCCCCCGGCUCAACCGGGGAGGGUCGUUUGAAACUGGUUGACUUGAGUGCAGGAGAGGAGAGUGGAAUUCCAUGUGUAGCGGUGAAAUGCGUAGAUAUAUGGAGGAACACCAGUGGCGAAGGCGACUCUCUGGUCUGUAACUGACGCGGAGGUUCGAAAGCGUGGGUAACAAACAGG